RNAcentral lists this ribosomal RNA (967 nucleotides) under Streptococcus thermophilus. Its description in RNAcentral is "bacterial SSU rRNA". It matches the Rfam family "Bacterial small subunit ribosomal RNA", at positions 532 to 1500 of the family's 1533-position model. The record is from RNAcentral. Lineage: Bacteria; Bacillati; Bacillota; Bacilli; Lactobacillales; Streptococcaceae.
GGCCUAACGUUGCUCGGAUUAUUGGGCGUAAGCGAGCGCAGGCGGUUUGAUAAGUCUGAAGUUAAAGGCUGUGGCUCAACCAUAGUUCGCUUUGGAAACUGUCAAACUUGAGUGCAGAAGGGGAGAGUGGAAUUCCAUGUGUAGCGGUGAAAUGCGUAGAUAUAUGGAGGAACACCGGUGGCGAAAGCGGCUCUCUGGUCUGUAACUGACGCUGAGGCUCGAAAGCGUGGGGAGCGAACAGGAUUAGAUACCCUGGUAGUCCACGCCGUAAACGAUGAGUGCUAGGUGUUGGAUCCUUUCCGGGAUUCAGUGCCGAAGCUAACGCAUUAAGCACUCCGCCUGGGGAGUACGACCGCAAGGUUGAAACUCAAAGGAAUUGACGGGGGCCCGCACAAGCGGUGGAGCAUGUGGUUUAAUUCGAAGCAACGCGAAGAACCUUACCAGGUCUUGACAUCCCGAUGCUAUUUCUAGAGAUAGAAAGUUACUUCGGUACAUCGGUGACAGGUGGUGCAUGGUUGUCGUCAGCUCGUGUCGUGAGAUGUUGGGUUAAGUCCCGCAACGAGCGCAACCCCUAUUGUUAGUUGCCAUCAUUCAGUUGGGCACUCUAGCGAGACUGCCGGUAAUAAACCGGAGGAAGGUGGGGAUGACGUCAAAUCAUCAUGCCCCUUAUGACCUGGGCUACACACGUGCUACAAUGGUUGGUACAACGAGUUGCGAGUCGGUGACGGCGAGCUAAUCUCUUAAAGCCAAUCUCAGUUCGGAUUGUAGGCUGCAACUCGCCUACAUGAAGUCGGAAUCGCUAGUAAUCGCGGAUCAGCACGCCGCGGGUGAAUACGUUCCCGGGCCUUGUACACACCGCCCGUCACACCACGAAGAGUUUGUAACACCCGAAGUCGGUGAGGUAACCUUUUGGAGCCAGCCGCCUAAGGUGGGACAGAUGAUUGGGGUGAAGCCUAAGGGGGGUUCC